GGCACGAUGGCCGAGUGGUUAAGGCGACAGAUUCGAAUCAGUCGCCAUCUGUUCCGGUUUCCGGGCGCAGGUUCAAAUCCUGCUCGUGUCG
This is a non-coding RNA of Mycena albidolilacea, 91 nucleotides long. The record is from the annotation of a GenBank genome assembly. Lineage: Eukaryota; Fungi; Basidiomycota; Agaricomycetes; Agaricales; Mycenaceae.